GGGCGCUUAGCUCAGCUGGAAGAGCGCCUCCCUUACAAGGAGGAGGUCGGCGGUUCGAGCCCGUCAGCGCCCA
RNAcentral lists this transfer RNA (73 nucleotides) under Acidimicrobiia bacterium. RNAcentral describes it as "tRNA-Val". It matches the Rfam family "tRNA". Rfam says of the family: Transfer RNA (tRNA) molecules are approximately 80 nucleotides in length. Their secondary structure includes four short double-helical elements and three loops (D, anti-codon, and T loops). Lineage: Bacteria; Bacillati; Actinomycetota; Acidimicrobiia. The record is from RNAcentral. RNAcentral also lists the same sequence under 1 other name.